RNAcentral lists this ribosomal RNA (490 nucleotides) under uncultured bacterium. RNAcentral's name for it is "partial 16S ribosomal RNA". It matches the Rfam family "Bacterial small subunit ribosomal RNA", at positions 30 to 507 of the family's 1533-position model. The record is from RNAcentral.
AUUGAACGCUGGCGGCAGGCCUAACACAUGCAAGUCGAACGGUAACAGGGAUCAGCUUGCUGAUUCGCUGACGAGUGGCGGACGGGUGAGUAAUGUCUGGGAAACUGCCUGAUGGAGGGGGAUAACUACUGGAAACGGUAGCUAAUACCGCAUAACGUCGCAAGACCAAAGAGGGGGACCUUCGGGCCUCUUGCCAUCGGAUGUGCCCAGAUGGGAUUAGCUAGUAGGUGGGGUAACGGCUCACCUAGGCGACGAUCCCUAGCUGGUCUGAGAGGAUGACCAGCCACACUGGAACUGAGACACGGUCCAGACUCCUACGGGAGGCAGCAGUGGGGAAUAUUGCACGAUGGGCGCAAGCCUGAUGCAGCCAUGCCGCGUGUAUGAAGAAGGCCUUCGGGUUGUAAAGUACUUUCAGCGGGGAGGAAGGGAGUAAAGUUAAUACCUUUGCUCAUUGACGUUACCCGCAGAAGAAGCACCGGCUAACUCCAUG